UUCUGGGUUGUUUUUUUUUUUACUGGUUGCGUUGGCUAUCAUAAUGGAAAAUAGCAUUCCUAGUGCCAAGGAGAAGAAAAUAACUGGAAAGAGAACUUUUUCCAAAGGAAAGCAUCUUGCAUAUGUGCCUAUUUUUGAAUUGUUGUCACAGAUCUUCAUAUUAUGUGGGUUCUAAGACUUUGUCAAAGAAACCAUGAGUUAUGGAUGCCCUCCCUCUGCCAAAAAACAAGCAGCCCCAAGGCCUUAUGAGAUAAUUUAGCCUUUCUUUUGAACAAAAGAAGAAAAGACUUUUCCCAGACAGAUUAGAUUUAGUGUCACUGAUAAACUGGUAUAAAAAUUUUGCUGUAGUUCCUAAGCUGGUUUUAGUCUUUAUUUUGAGGACUAGGUAGAAGAUUUAUUAGUCUUAGUGAGAAAAUGUGUUAAGAGACGCAGUAUUGACUCUGAAUCUUCUGAAAGGUGUAGUUGAGCAGAACAGUAAUGCUCCAUUGAAAUUUAACUCAAAAAACCCAAAAGACAUAACUCAAUAAAGAGAAAAGGGGAGGGAGGGGGAAAAGAAAGUGAACCUUAGAAAUAGCUUGAGGACUUUCAGGCAUUAGCCGAAUUUUCUUUUUCUGUCAAGGCUUCUUAUUUGUGCAGAUUGUUAACCACAGUAAUCCCUGGCUUUAAAUUACUGUAGCAUUUUAUGAAUUACACUUGCAUUGUAAGAAGAUACUGUCAUUAUUACUAGGUAUUAAUGAGCAAAUCUUGUGCCAGUUUAAUACAAAAUUUGUCUUUAGAAAUGGAGAAAUCUGUUACGGUAUUAAUUUACUUCAUUCCUGAAAAUGAUCUCUCAGGAAAAGCUUGAAAAAUGUAAUACAUCAUGUUCAAUAUAUAGGAAUAUCUCUAAGACUGUGAUGCCAUUUUUCUCAGGGUAUUAAUCCUGGUCUGUAUCCAAGACCAAUUGGCUUCUAGCAGUAGCUGGCUAUCAGCAUUAAAAUUUCUCCCUUGUGUUUUGUUGCAAACUGUUAAAGACCAGCUUACUUUCUCAGUCUUUGCUGUUCAAAUCAUGCAGUUUUUCCUGAGUUGUUUGAAGCAUAAGAAAUAAUAAAUUCAUUUCCUGCUGGCAGCAGUGCAGUGGGACAUAACUUUGCCUCUGAUUUGCUCUUGUUUAAUGUUUCCCUUUUUCUGUAUUUUAAGGUCAGUGGUUUUGUUCUUCUUAGUAUACUCUGUGCCUUUCAGGUUCCCAUGUCUCCUAUCACAUAAAGCAGCAACCAACAAAGCUGAUAUUCCUAUUUCACAAUCUUAUCAACCUAUUAUCACAAUUUUAUCCAUAACAGACUUUCUUUUUUCCUACCAAAAUUAAUUCAUCUUACUGCUAGCUUAGAUGUUUUCCACCAUUCUGUUUAGUUACCAGAUUUUCUGUUCUGAGUUAGACAGAAAUAAUCAAGUACAAUCUCAUAAUUCUAUUUAAACCUUUUUCCUAUGAAGUGUGCCCUAGUACUUCUUCCAGGCUUUGCAGUGUCUGUUUCUCUCAGUUUUCUUCCCAGUCCACAAUCUUAGAAUCUUCUGAAGAAGUUUGGGAACUGGAGUGCUGGGAACACCAGCCAUUCACUUGCUCUCUCAUACGAAGAGCCGUAGAAAGUUCUUAAGUGAAAGGCAGUAAAGUACACUUUAUGGCAGAAGUAAAACAAGGCUUGCAGCAUUCCACUGUUUGAUUUCUAAUUGGUGGUGGGUUUUUUUGAGGAGAAAUCUCAGCAAAAGGGAUUCAAGAGAAUCCUGCAAGAACUGCAGAUGCAAACCUGAAAAUUUCCUUUGGUGAUUGACAGUUUAAAUAAUAGACCAUCUCAAGCCCAAGACUUCAGUGGAAGCAAAAAAGUAGAGGGAAAGUCUUUGUGGAAGAAAAGGUUUCCUUUCUAUCUUGUGUCCUCACUGAUAAAGAUUAGGCAAAAGAUGGAAUAUGAUUCAAUCUUUCCUCCUGGAAGGUUACAUACCUCUUGAGAAAAAGGCAGAGGCACAAAGUUAAAAACACGUACUUGUAGCUGAGGCAGGUAGACAACAAAGAACUGCCAAGUUUGAAGGGGAUGUAUCUGCUGCUGCAGGGUGUAUUAUUAUGGUUUCAGAUAAGAUAGCCAAGGUGAAACUGCUUGACUUGAAAGCAUGUGUAGACCGUGGCCUAAGUUGAUAAGUAUUUUUUAAAUGGCAGAGGUUUAGCUAUUUGCAUAUCAUCGGAGAUAGUUACACUGUUUUAGCAAGUUUAAUGCUUUGAGUAUGGGAAAUAAAUUCUCAGAAAUCUGAAGUGUGUUCCAGGAUAUUGUGUCUCAUUGGAUUUUAUUCCAGAAUGCAUUACACCAUUUUAUGUCUACAUUGAAUCUUCAUGUCUAGAUGCUAUACUGCUUAUUGCAUAUAGCAUACUAAAAUGCCUCUCCUGCCCAUUAAUAUUAAAGGAAGAUUUUAAUGA
Pezoporus occidentalis (night parrot) is the source of this 2437-nucleotide long non-coding RNA. RefSeq lists it as uncharacterized. The record is from RefSeq and is a predicted model, not a curated record. NCBI's taxonomy places the organism in Eukaryota, Metazoa, Chordata, Aves, Psittaciformes, Psittacidae. The transcript has 2 exons.